GCUCAGCCCUAAACCCAGACAGUUCUACAAACCCCUGUCCGCCAAAGAACUACGAGCGAAAAGCUUAAAACUCAAAGGACUUGACGGUGCCCCACACCAACCUAGAGGAGCCUGUCCUAUAAUCGAUAACCCACGACACACCCCACCUGCCCUUGAACCACAGCCUAUAUACCGCCGUCAUCGCCCACCUAACAACAGCACCAAUAGUGAGCACAACCGCCCGCCCGCUAAAACGUCAGGUCAAGGUGUAGCUAACGGGCAGGAAGAGAUGGGCUACACUUUCUUUCACAGAGCCCCCCACCAGCACCAUGAAAACGUGCCCUAAAGAUGGAUUUAGCAGUAAGUUUAGCAAUAAGAGCUCAACUGAAGCUCGCCCUGGGGCGCGU
Molecule: ribosomal RNA, 386 nt
Filed under: Mediodactylus kotschyi (Kotschy's gecko)
Lineage: Eukaryota; Metazoa; Chordata; Lepidosauria; Squamata; Gekkonidae
Description: partial 12S ribosomal RNA
Rfam family: Bacterial small subunit ribosomal RNA
Source: RNAcentral